GACAGAGGGUGCAACCGUUGUUCGGAAUUACUGGGCGUAAAGCGCGUGUAGGCGGCCAUCUAAGUCGGUCGUGAAAUCCCACGGCUCAACCGUGGAAGUGCACUCGAAACUGGAUGGCUAGAGUCCUGGAGAGGAAGGUGGAAUGCUUGGUGUAGAGGUGAAAUUCGUAGAUAUCAAGCGGAACACCGGUGGCGAAGGCGGCCUUCUGGACAGUGACUGACGCUGAGACGCGAAAGCGUGGGGAGCAAACAGG
This 253-nucleotide ribosomal RNA is filed under the name uncultured bacterium. RNAcentral describes it as "partial 16S ribosomal RNA". It matches the Rfam family "Bacterial small subunit ribosomal RNA", at positions 524 to 776 of the family's 1533-position model. The record is from RNAcentral.